Molecule: ribosomal RNA, 254 nt
Filed under: uncultured bacterium
Lineage: Bacteria
Description: partial 16S ribosomal RNA
Rfam family: Bacterial small subunit ribosomal RNA
Source: RNAcentral
UACGUAGGGGGCAAGCGUUGUUCGGAAUGACUGGGCGUAAAGGGUGCGUAGGCGGUGUAGCAAGUUAGAAGUGAAAUACCUAAAGCUUAACUCAGGUGCUGCUUCUAAAACUGCUAUACUUGAGUGCAGUAGAGGAAAGUGGAAUUCCUAGUGUAGCGGUGGAAUGCGUAGAUAUUAGGAGGAACAUCAGUGGCGAAGGCGACUUUCUGGACUGUAACUGACGCUGAGGCACGAAAGUGUGGGGAGCAAACAGG